RNAcentral lists this ribosomal RNA (168 nucleotides) under uncultured bacterium. RNAcentral's name for it is "partial 16S ribosomal RNA". It matches the Rfam family "Bacterial small subunit ribosomal RNA", at positions 1332 to 1500 of the family's 1533-position model. The record is from RNAcentral.
UCGCUAGUAAUCGCGGAUCAGAAUGCCGCGGUGAAUACGUCCCGGGUCUUGUACACACCGCCCGUCACACCAUGGGAGUCGGAAAUGCCCGAAGUCUGUGACCCAACCUACGGGAGGGAGCAGCCGAAGGCAGAUCGGAUGACUGGGGUGAAGUCGUAACAAGGUAGC